RNAcentral lists this ribosomal RNA (440 nucleotides) under uncultured bacterium. Its description in RNAcentral is "partial 16S ribosomal RNA". It matches the Rfam family "Bacterial small subunit ribosomal RNA", at positions 338 to 795 of the family's 1533-position model. The record is from RNAcentral.
CCUACGGGAGGCAGCAGUGGGGAAUAUUGCACAAUGGGGGAAACCCUGAUGCAGCGACGCCGCGUGAGUGAAGAAGUAUUUCGGUAUGUAAAGCUCUGUCAGCAGGGAAGAAAAUGACGGUACCUGACCAAGAAGCCCCGGCUAACUACGUGCCAGCAGCCGCGGUAAUACGUAGGGGGCAAGCGUUAUCCGGAUUUACUGGGUGUAAAGGGAGCGUAGACGGCAGGGCAAGUCUGCAGUGAAAGGCGGGGGCUCAACCCCCGGACUGCUCUGGAAACUGGCUGUCUUGAGAUGUCGAGAGGUAUGCGGAAUGCGCAGUGUAGCGGUGAAAUGCUUAGAUAUUGCGCAGAACUCCGAUUGCGAAGGCAGCAUACCGGCGGCGAUCUGACGCUGAGGCACGAAAGCGUGGGUAUCGAACAGGAUUAGAUACCCGAGUAGUC